CCCUUAGAUGUUCUGGGCCGCACGCGCGCUACACUGACGAAUGCAACGAGCUUAUAACCUUGGCCGAAAGGUCUGGGUAAUCUCCAAAUUUCGUCGUGAUGGGGAUAGAUUAUUGCAAUUAUUAAUCUUCAACGAGGAAUGCCUAGUAAGCGCAAGUCAUCAGCUUGCGUUGAUUACGUCCCUGCCCUUUGUACACACCGCCCGUCGCUCCUACCGAUGGGGUGAUCCGGUGAAUGAUUCGGACUUUCGCGUUGCUAGCUACUAGUACUGCGGAAGAAAGUCUUGUGAACCUUAUCACUUGGAGGAAGGAGAAGUCGUAACA
This 322-nucleotide ribosomal RNA is filed under the name uncultured eukaryote. Its description in RNAcentral is "partial 18S ribosomal RNA". It matches the Rfam family "Eukaryotic small subunit ribosomal RNA", at positions 1470 to 1796 of the family's 1831-position model. The record is from RNAcentral.